AGCGACGCAUGCGCCCGCCGC
RNAcentral lists this small nuclear RNA (21 nucleotides) under Arabidopsis thaliana (thale cress). Its description in RNAcentral is "snRNA_00319". The record is from RNAcentral. Lineage: Eukaryota; Viridiplantae; Streptophyta; Magnoliopsida; Brassicales; Brassicaceae.